RNAcentral lists this ribosomal RNA (397 nucleotides) under uncultured bacterium. Its description in RNAcentral is "partial 16S ribosomal RNA". It matches the Rfam family "Bacterial small subunit ribosomal RNA", at positions 523 to 918 of the family's 1533-position model. The record is from RNAcentral.
AUACGUAGGGGGCAAGCGUUAUCCGGAUUUACUGGGUGUAAAGGGAGCGUAGACGGCAUGGCAAGUCUGAUGUGAAAACCCGGGGCUCAACCCCGGGAUUGCAUUGGAAACUGUCAAGCUAGAGUGCAGGAGAGGUAAGUGGAAUUCCUAGUGUAGCGGUGAAAUGCGUAGAUAUUAGGAGGAACACCAGUGGCGAAGGCGGCUUACUGGACUGUAACUGACGUUGAGGCUCGAAAGCGUGGGGAGCAAACAGGAUUAGAUUCCCUGGUAGUCCACGCCGUAAACGAUGAAUACUAGGUGUUGGGAGGAACUAUCCUUUCGGUGCCGCAGCAAACGCAAUAAGUAUUCCACCUGGGGAGUACGUUCGCAAGAAUGAAACUCAAAGGAAUUGACGGGG